Molecule: long non-coding RNA, 517 nt
Filed under: Helianthus annuus (common sunflower)
Lineage: Eukaryota; Viridiplantae; Streptophyta; Magnoliopsida; Asterales; Asteraceae
Source: RNAcentral
GUUUAAUAAAAAUUUUCCCUAAAUCUCUUCCCUCCCAAAUAUAUUAGAAAAUUUUCCCCCUCUUCAACAUCUCCCCCCAAAAUCAAUUUCCCAUUCCAAAAUCAACUUCCCUCUUCAAACUAGGGCAACUUCAAUUCUAAAAAAUUCUUCCAUCCUCAUCUUCUAAGGUCAGAUUGCUGGCAAAUUCCCUCCCAGUCGUUGUUUCUGCCUUCGCCAGAUCAGAACUAGUCACCUAGCUACUGGAAUCGAGGGUUGGUGGCGAUUGGUACAAGCGAAUGAUUCUGUUGAUUCUAAUUAGUGGAUAAAUAGUCGGUUUUGGUAGAUCUUUGUCAGAAAGUGCAUUAACUGCUUCAAUUUAUGAUUUCAUGGAACGACGUGCCAACCACCAUGACACCGAGCGUUGUGGCCAAGGUCGACUACUCGACCGCCGCCAUCUGCAUAAAAUAGGGUAUCGGCUAAUAAAUACUGUUUAUCCGGAUGCCUUCCAUCUGCAUACAUGGAACGGGAAUUUUGGCUU